AUGAAGACACAAGUAGGAGUCUUGGUGGGCCUUCUGUGGAUACAGAUUUGCUGGUUAAGAGUGGAGACGAAGGUGGAGCAGAGUCCUCGUUUUCUGUUUCUACAAGAGGGGAAAAAUUCCUCUCUGCUGUGCAAUUUUUCUAUCUCCGUGACCAGUGUUCAGUGGUUCCAACAAAACCCUGCAGGACACCUCAUACCUUUGUUUUACAUAACUUUAGAAAUGAAGCAAAAAGGAAGAUUAAAAUCCACACUCAAUAUCAAGGAACGUUAUAGCCAGCUAUACAUCAGAGACUCACAACCUGAGGACUCAGCCACUUACUUCUGCGCCAUAGAAGCACAGUGCUCUUAA
Non-coding RNA from Chrysochloris asiatica (Cape golden mole), 348 nucleotides. Lineage: Eukaryota; Metazoa; Chordata; Mammalia; Afrosoricida; Chrysochloridae. The record is from the annotation of a RefSeq genome assembly.